AUGAGAACCAAUCCUACUACUUCUCCUCCCGGGGCUUCCACAAUUGAAGAAAAAAGUACAGGUCGUAUCGAUCAAAUUAUUGGACCCGUGCUGGAUGUCACUUUUCCCCCAGGCAUGUUACCUUAUAUUUAUAACGCUUUGGAAGUCCAGAGAAGAGACACUGACAAUAAGCAAAUUAAUGUGACUUGUGAGGUACAACAAUUAUUAGGAAAUAAUCGAGUUAGAGCUGUAGCUAUGAGUGCUACGGACGGGUUGAUGAGAGGAAUGGAAGUGAUUGACACGGGAGCUCCUCUCAGUGUUCCGGUCGGUGGAGCUACUCUUGGACGAAUUUUCAACGUUCUUGGGGAGCCUGUUGACAAUUUGGGUCCUGUAGAUAGUAGUGCAAUGUUCCCUAUUCAUAGAUCUGCGCCUGCCUUUAUCGAGUUAGAUACGAAAUUAUCCAUCUUUGAAACAGGUAUUAAGGUCGUCGAUCUUUUAGCUCCUUAUCGACAUGGAGGAAAAAUAGGACUAUUUGGGGGGGCUGGAGUAGGUAAAACAGUACUGAUCGUGGAAUUAAUCAAUAACAUUGCUAAAGCUCAUGGGGGCGUAUCCGUAUUUGGUGGAGUAGGGGAACGGACUCGUGAAGGAAAUGAUCUUUAUAUGGAAAUGAAGGAAUCCAGAGUAAUUAAUGAAAAAAAUAUUGAGGAAUCAAAGGUAGCUCCAGUCUAUGGCCAAAUGAAUGAACCACCGGGAGCUCGUAUGAGAGUUGGUUUAACUGCCCUAACUAUGGCGGAAUAUUUCCGAGAUGUUAAUAAGCAAGACGUGCUUUUAUUUAUCGAUAAUGUCUUUCGUUUUGUUCAAGCAGGAUCUGAGGUAUCCGCUUUAUUAGGGAGAAUGCCCUCCAUAGUGGGUUAUCAACCUACUCUUAGUACAGAAAUGGGUUCUUUGCAAGAAAGAAUUGCUUCUACUAAAAAGGGAUCUAUAACUUCGAUUCAAGCAGUUUAUGUACCUGCAGACGAUUUGACCAACCCUGCCCCUGCCACAACAUUUGCACAUUUGGAUGCUACUAUCGUACUUUCCAGAGGAUUAGCUUCCAAGGGUAUUUAUCCAGCAGUAGAUCCUUUAGAUUCAACCUCGACUAUGUUACAGCCUCGGAUCGUUGGCAACGAACAUUAUGAAACUGCGCAAAGAGUUAAGGAAACUUUACAACGUUACAAAGAACUUCAGGACAUUAUUGCAAUUCUUGGCUUGGAUGAAUUAUCGGAAGAGGGUCAUUAA
RNAcentral lists this ribosomal RNA (1257 nucleotides) under Triticum aestivum (bread wheat). RNAcentral describes it as "partial small subunit ribosomal RNA". The record is from RNAcentral. Lineage: Eukaryota; Viridiplantae; Streptophyta; Magnoliopsida; Poales; Poaceae.